Molecule: ribosomal RNA, 253 nt
Filed under: uncultured bacterium
Lineage: Bacteria
Description: partial 16S ribosomal RNA
Rfam family: Bacterial small subunit ribosomal RNA
Source: RNAcentral
UACAGAGGGGGCAAGCGUUGUUCGGAAUUACUGGGCGUAAAGGGCGCGUAGGCGGCCUGCUAAGUCGAACGUGAAAUCCCCGGGCUCAACCCGGGAACUGCGUCCGAUACUGGCAGGCUUGAAUCCGGGAGAGGGAUGUGGAAUUCCAGGUGUAGCGGUGAAAUGCGUAGAUAUCGGAAGGAACAUCAGUGGCGAAAGCGACUUCCUGGACCAGUACCGACGUUCAGGCACGAAAGCGUGGGGAGCAAACAGG